Molecule: ribosomal RNA, 299 nt
Filed under: uncultured Streptococcus sp.
Lineage: Bacteria; Bacillati; Bacillota; Bacilli; Lactobacillales; Streptococcaceae
Description: partial 16S ribosomal RNA
Rfam family: Bacterial small subunit ribosomal RNA
Source: RNAcentral
GUCCGCAACGAGCGCAACCCCUACUUGUUAGUUGCCAUCAUUCAGUUGGGCACUCUAGCGAGACUGCCGGUAAUAAACCGGAGGAAAGUGGGGAUGACGUCAAAUCAUCAUGCCCCUUAUGACCUGGGCUACACACGUGCUACAAUGGUUGGUACAACGAGUUGCGAGUCGGUGACGGCGAGCUAAUCUACUUAAAGCCAAUCUCAGUUCGGAUUGUAGGCUGCAACUCGCCUACAUGAAGUCGGAAUCGCUAGUAAUCGCGGAUCAGCACGCCGCGGUGAAUAACGUUCCCGGGCCUU